This 296-nucleotide signal recognition particle RNA is filed under the name Aotus nancymaae (Ma's night monkey). RNAcentral describes it as "Metazoan signal recognition particle RNA (ENSANAG00000005078.1)". It matches the Rfam family "Metazoan signal recognition particle RNA". Rfam says of the family: The signal recognition particle (SRP) is a universally conserved ribonucleoprotein. It is involved in the co-translational targeting of proteins to membranes. The eukaryotic SRP consists of a 300-nucleotide 7S RNA and six proteins: SRPs 72, 68, 54, 19, 14, and 9. Lineage: Eukaryota; Metazoa; Chordata; Mammalia; Primates; Aotidae. The record is from RNAcentral.
ACCAGGCGCCGUGGCAUGUGCCUGUAGUCCCAGCUACUCGGGAGGCUGAGGCUGGAGGAUCGCUUGAGUCCAGGAGUUCUGGGCUGUAGUGCGCUAUGCCGAUCAGGUGUCCGCACUAAGUUCAGCAUCAAAAUAGUAACCUCCCGGGAGCAGGGGACCAGGUUGCCUUAGGAGGGGUGAACUGGCCCAGGUCGGAAACGGAGCAGGUGAAAACUUCUGUGCUGAUCAGUAGUGGGAUCUCACCUGUGAAUAGCCACUGCACUCCAGCCUGGGCAACAUAUCGAGACCCCGUCUCU